CUAAUGGUCAGAUUGUCAAGCAUGUGGCA
This 29-nucleotide non-coding RNA is filed under the name Cricetulus griseus (Chinese hamster). Lineage: Eukaryota; Metazoa; Chordata; Mammalia; Rodentia; Cricetidae. The record is from RNAcentral.